This is a long non-coding RNA of Homo sapiens (human), 626 nucleotides long. Ensembl annotates it as long intergenic non-protein coding RNA 1376. Lineage: Eukaryota; Metazoa; Chordata; Mammalia; Primates; Hominidae. The record is from Ensembl.
UUGCCUAGGCUGGAUUGCAGCGGUGCGAUCAGGACUCAUUGCAUCCUCAACCUCCCCGACUCAAGCAGUCCUCCCACCUCAGCCUCCUGAGUAGCAAGGCUACAGAGACCUGGGGGAUUUUAGAACAGGGCUUUCAAGGUAAUGAAGGAAGAGAAUCUUCUUUGGACUUCUUUUUGCUCCAGAUGCGGAGAAGGCAACUUCCCGGAGUCUCUACCAGUGAGAAGGCUACAGAAUCAUGGGCCGAUGGGGUCUCACUAUGUUGCCCAGGCUGGUCUCAAACUACAGUGGCUCAAACAAUCCUUCCAGUACUGCCUCCCGAGGUGCUGGGAUUAUAAGCGUGAGCCACAGCACCUGGCCACAGAGUACAUUUUAAAUGUCUUAAUAAAACGUGACAGAAAGUCUAGGUAGAAAGCAGCUAUCUUUGAUGACAGAAUGAUAAAGAAACCCACCUUUCUCCCAACAAUCCAUAAACACCCUGAGGAGAUGUCACCUUCUAUGUAAUAUCACUUGGAUACUGAAAAUUCUCCAUGAACUGGAAGAAUGUAUGCUUCAGUGUGGUAAACAGAAUUUCUAAAAUGACCUCUUCCUCCCUGAGAUAUCCUGACAUAAUACCCUAAAUUUGUAAA